GACUCUGUAGUGAAGUUCAUAGUGAGUUGCAAACUCAUUGAUGCACGCUAAUCGUGUGCCGGGGUCU
RNAcentral lists this transfer RNA (67 nucleotides) under Oedistoma pygmaeum. RNAcentral's name for it is "tRNA-Cys". The record is from RNAcentral. Lineage: Eukaryota; Metazoa; Chordata; Aves; Passeriformes; Melanocharitidae.